GUGUCAGCAGCCGCGGUAAGACGAACCGUGCGAACGUUGUUCGGAAUCACUGGGCUUAAAGGGCGCGUAGGCGGUUGGUCAAGUCAGGGGUGAAAUCUUUCGGCUCAACCGGAAAACUGCCUUUGAUACUGACUGGCUGGAGGGAGAUAGGGGUUGCGGGAACUACCAGUGGAGCGGUGAAAUGCGUUGAUAUUGGUAGGAACGCCGGUGGCGAAAGCGCGCAACUGGAUCUCUUCUGACGCUGAGGCGCGAAAGCUAGGGGAGCAAACGGGAUUAGAAACCCCGGUAGUCC
RNAcentral lists this ribosomal RNA (292 nucleotides) under uncultured bacterium. RNAcentral's name for it is "partial 16S ribosomal RNA". It matches the Rfam family "Bacterial small subunit ribosomal RNA", at positions 505 to 796 of the family's 1533-position model. The record is from RNAcentral.